Struthio camelus australis is the source of this 1322-nucleotide long non-coding RNA. The record is from Ensembl. NCBI's taxonomy places the organism in Eukaryota, Metazoa, Chordata, Aves, Struthioniformes, Struthionidae.
UUUUGUCCUGACAAGGUUGUCCAAGGCUCAUUUGCUGUGACUCGGCCAGCAUCGUGCAGGUCUUAGAAAGAUGCCAGCGUUGAGCCCCUCGUGCCCGGCGUCGGCUGUGGACUGUGCAACGGGGACUAUGCUAGAUGGCUCCAUGGGUGAAGGGGCCAGUGAUUUUAAAGAUGGGAUUCUUCACUCGCACCUGUUCUUCUCCAGCUCUGGUCAUCAGAAUAUCAGGCAUAAGAGUUCAGAGUGCGCUAUGGACAGAGAACGCGAGGCCAUCACGUUCUGCCUCAAGCCCCGCGAUAAAGUAGCCUCCUGUGCUGCCUGCUGAGGAUUAUGGAGAAAGUGUGAGUGCAAUACUAGGUGUUGCCCAGGGAAUACUUGUAAACUUGGUAAGCUCCUGCUGGUUUUUAAUGCUACUUAAGUGGUAGUUAAGAAUCAAAGAGGCUUAUGCACACAGGAUGGAGUUCUCAUUUUGUCUUCAAUAAUAAGUGGUAAACAAUACUGAAUACAGCAGCUAAAUGCCUCUUUAUUAUGAGGCACUGGAAGAUUCAAACCAAAUUAACUGUCGUGUUACACACCGCUGCAUACACUAGUAACGAAGAAUAUUCAUAGAAAAAGCUUCAAAUCUCUUGCUAGAAAAUGGGAAAUGAGGGGAAUCAAGCUGUAGCCUGCAUUUCUAAGAAUAAUCAACAUUAUUUGUAUAAGAGCAAGUAAAAAAGUUACAGUUCUGCACAGGCUUGGGACAGAUGAGAGUAAAAGUCUCUUAACUGACAGAACUGCCCGAUAAUUGACAAUCACUUUCCCAAAGACAGCUAGUAAUGCAGUCUUGCUGGAAUCUGCUCUCAAGUCUGAGAACAUUCGUGCCUUUUGAAGUGAUUUAAGAGGAGCUAUAGAGUCAGAGCUGUCAGAUUUGCAGAUGAAAAGGCAAUUUGACUCCAUAGGAAUGGUAGAAAAAUGUAUCAGUUAUUCAGACGGGGCUUCGGGGUAAUGGUAAGCUGAACAAAAUUGCAAGCUCUGCAACUGCUAGAAUUACAACAUAUCUAGGGACAAAAAGCGUGGCUCACAUGCAACGUGUUGCCAUACUGAAGGGAUUUAGAAGUAAGGACAAAACCAGCUAGCAUGAGCUUCAGCACUGCACUAGGAGACUCAUCACAAAGAUGAGCAGGGGAGAGGGAGUUAUUAGCAGAAAAUGGUAUUGCUUUGAGUAACUUCGGGGGAGCCAGGUAUAAGAAGUGUCUCAUUCGCCUAUCUAUGCAUCAGACAGGAAACAAGUGAAAACAGAUCAGAGGAGAAAGCUAGCAGAGCAAUUUAAGUUCUGAGGAGGAAGA